CCUACAGGUGGCAGCAGUGAGGAAUAUUUGUCAAUGGGCGUAAGCCUGAACCAGCCAAGUCGCGUGAGGGAUGAAGGUUCUAUGGUUCGUAACCCUCUUUUAUAAGGGAAUAUAGUGCGGGACGUGUUCCGUUUUGUAUGUACCUUAUGAAUAAGGAUCGGCAAACUCUGUGCCAGCAGCCGCGGUAAUGCGGAGGAUCCGAGCGUUAUCCGGUGUUUUUGGGUUUAAAGGGUUCGAAGUGGGACUAUUAUGUCAGCGGGGAAACUCUGUGUCUCAACCAUAAUAUUGCCGGUGAAACUGGGAAGCUUGAGUAUGUUAGAGGCAGGCGGAAUGCGUGGUGUAGGAGUGAAAUCCGUAGAUAUCA
RNAcentral lists this ribosomal RNA (364 nucleotides) under uncultured bacterium. Its description in RNAcentral is "partial 16S ribosomal RNA". It matches the Rfam family "Bacterial small subunit ribosomal RNA", at positions 338 to 699 of the family's 1533-position model. The record is from RNAcentral.